GGGGCAGAAGGCUCUAGACCGACUGACUCUCAGCCUUAAUUCUUCUAAAUCAACUUUAAUCUGCCCCAAAUCCCCUCACAGCGCCACCAGGACUGUGCCAAGGCCAUGGGGGUCUUACACAGCAUGGAGACUUUGGGAGCUCCUCCUGUCAUCGGUUACUGGUCUUCCUGUUUACCAUUUGGACACCCACCCACUGAAGGAAUCUGAGAAGACACGGACCCUGCGGGUCAGUGGCUCUGAGCUUUCAGAGUAACAUUCCUGGUGCAGGAAUGUCUGGCAAGACUGGAAGCCCUGGGGUCUCAGGUCCAGGGGGCCCAGGGGCACCUGGCCUGACCUUUUGUUCACAGGCUUCCCUGAGAGCUCCCUCCAACCUGGGAGGGAAAAAGAAAUCUCUCUUCUAGACUGGGAGAAAAAAAAAAGGCUCUCUUCCACGCUCCUCUCAAAGGCACCCCCUGCAGGCCAUGAACACGGUCUCUCUGGGAGCUUGGGCUUUUAUUAAAGACACAGCAAGCCUGCCUUGCAGAAAUCCCUCAGGCAAGGCCUUGCCAAGGGCUGGCGACCUCCUGGUAAUGUGAGAAGACACUGGGAGAACACAUACUCCUUUCUCAAUUAACUAUCCUUCCAUGUCUCCGAGGAAAUCUGACUCCUGGACCAAGCUUGCCUUCUAAACAGGGUGAGAGCCUAGAGGCCAAGGGACAGGGCUGCGAGGGGAAAGACUCGGCCCAGCCAGUGAGUCGGGGGCAGGCUGGGAGGAGCAUGGUGGUGAGCCCAGCAGGGAAAGAAGGCCUCUGGUCCUGAAGGGCCAGAAGAAGUCACCGUCGGCCACCCUCACAGCCCAGGGUUGGGGCUUCUGGAGUGACUGAUAUCAACCUACAUAUGAGUCUGGCCCUGAUGCCAAGGGCUGAGAUUCAACAAGGCAACCGGGGCCAGAUGCAGCGGUGCUGGACCCUGUAGGAGCGAGCGCUCCUGUCUUACCGCAGAAAGCGCAGCCUCCUCAACCCUGUAUCCAGGACCCUCCUGUGCAGGCCAACCUGGUGCCACUGUGGGCCCUCCUUGCCCGUGCAGUCAGGGACAGAGCUGGCCUUCCACAAAAGCCACAGCGCAGAGCCCCGCUUCAUCACAUCCGUGACGCUCACACUCUCUGGUGCACUUUCUGUUCACUGGGGCUGUGGGGUGA
RNAcentral lists this long non-coding RNA (1177 nucleotides) under Aotus nancymaae (Ma's night monkey). Its description in RNAcentral is "lncRNA (ENSANAG00000039225.1)". Lineage: Eukaryota; Metazoa; Chordata; Mammalia; Primates; Aotidae. The record is from RNAcentral.